ACGGGAGGAGAACAACAGGGAUUGCCUCAGUAACGGCGAGUGAAGCGGCAAAAGCUCAAAUUUGAAAUCUGGCCCUCUCAGGGUCCGAGUUGUAAUUUGUAGAAGAUGCUUCGGGUGUGGUCCCGGUCUAAGUUCCUUGGAACAGGACGUCAUAGAGGGUGAGAAUCCCGUAUGUGACUGGGUACCUACGCUCAUGUGAAGCUCUUUCGACGAGUCGAGUUGUUUGGGAAUGCAGCUCUAAAUGGGUGGUAUAUUUCAUCUAAAGCUAAAUAUUGGCCAGAGACCGAUAGCGCACAAGUAGAGUGAUCGAAAGAUGAAAAGCACUUUGGAAAGAGAGUUAAACAGUACGUGAAAUUGUUGAAAGGGAAGCGCUUGCAAUCAGACUUGCACCUGGUGUUCAGCGGGGUUUCGUGCCCCGUGUACUUCAUCAGGUUCAGGCCAGCAUCGGUUUGGGUGGUUAGAUAAAGGCCUUGAGAAUGUGGCCCUCUUCGGGGGGUGUUAUAGCUCUCGGUGCAAUGUAGCCUACCUGGACCGAGGACCGCGCUUCGGCUAGGAUGCUGGCGUAAUGGUUGUAAGCGACCCGUCUUGAAACACGGACCAAGGAGUUGAAUAUCUAUGCGAGUGUUUGGGUGUUAAACCCCUACGCGUAAUGAAAGUGAACGGAGGUGAGAACCCUUUAGGGUGCAUCAUCGACCGAUCCUGAUGUCUUCGGAUGGAUUUGAGUAAGAGCAUAGCUAUUCUGACCCGAAAGAUGGUGAUCUAUACGUGAAUAGGGUGAAGCCAGAGGAAACUCUGGUGGAGGCUCGCAGCGGUUCUGACGUGCAAAUCGAUCGUCAAAUUUGCGUAUAGGGGCGAAAGACUAAUCGAACCAUCUAGUAGCUGGUUCUGCAUUUUCUCCCCCCC
This 903-nucleotide ribosomal RNA is filed under the name Mycopappus alni. RNAcentral describes it as "eukaryotic LSU rRNA". It matches the Rfam family "Eukaryotic large subunit ribosomal RNA", at positions 54 to 974 of the family's 3401-position model. The record is from RNAcentral. Lineage: Eukaryota; Fungi; Ascomycota; Leotiomycetes; Helotiales; Sclerotiniaceae.